UAGGGAAUCUUCGGCAAUGGGGGCAACCCUGACCGAGCAACGCCGCGUGAGUGAAGAAGGUUUUCGGAUCGUAAAGCUCUGUUGUAAGUCAAGAACGGGUGUGAGAGUGGAAAGUUCACACUGCGACGGUAGCUUACCAGAAAGGGACGGCUAACUACGUGCCAGCAGCCGCGGUAAUACGUAGGUCCCGAGCGUUGUCCGGAUUUAUUGGGCGUAAAGCGAGCGCAGGCGGUUUGAUAAGUCUGAAGUUAAAGGCUGUGGCUCA
This 265-nucleotide ribosomal RNA is filed under the name uncultured bacterium. RNAcentral describes it as "partial 16S ribosomal RNA". It matches the Rfam family "Bacterial small subunit ribosomal RNA", at positions 355 to 611 of the family's 1533-position model. The record is from RNAcentral.